Molecule: small RNA, 29 nt
Filed under: Bombyx mori (domestic silkworm)
Lineage: Eukaryota; Metazoa; Arthropoda; Insecta; Lepidoptera; Bombycidae
Description: ovarian small RNA-33650
Source: RNAcentral
UGCCAAAUGUUUCCCAGCAGACACAAAAU